UAUUAAAAUUUUUGUCUAUUUAUAUUGUUAAAAAUUGGCGUAACUAAUGGAAUAACUAGAUAAUGAAACACGGUUUGCCACAUGUACAUCAUGUUGAUGUAAGACUAGUUUUUAACAGUAAAAAAUAGAAUAAAUUUUUAACA
Molecule: non-coding RNA, 143 nt
Organism: Gossypium hirsutum (cotton)
Lineage: Eukaryota; Viridiplantae; Streptophyta; Magnoliopsida; Malvales; Malvaceae
Source: Rfam